ACACCGGCAGCUCAAGUGGUAGCCGCUUUUAUUGGGCCUAAAGCGUCCGUAGCCGGUCUGAUAAGUCUCUGGUGAAAUCCCACAGCUUAACUGUGGGAAUUGCUGGAGAUACUAUCAUGACUCGAGGUCGGGAGAGGCUGGAGGUACUCCCAGGGUAGGGGGGAAAUCCUGUAAUCCUGGGAGGACCACCUGUGGCGAAGGCGUCCAGCUGGAACGAACCUGACGGUGAGGGACGAAAGCCAGGGGCGCGAACCGGAUUAGAUACCCGGGUAGUCCUGGCCGUAAACGAUGUGGACUUGGUGUUGGGAUGGCUUCGAGCUGCCCCAGUGCCGAAGGGAAGCUGUUAAGUCCACCGCCUGGGAAGUACGGCCGCAAGGCUGAAACUUAAAGGAAUUGGCGGGG
RNAcentral lists this ribosomal RNA (402 nucleotides) under uncultured bacterium. RNAcentral's name for it is "partial 16S ribosomal RNA". It matches the Rfam family "Archaeal small subunit ribosomal RNA", at positions 473 to 873 of the family's 1478-position model. The record is from RNAcentral.